RNAcentral lists this ribosomal RNA (428 nucleotides) under uncultured prokaryote. RNAcentral's name for it is "bacterial SSU rRNA". It matches the Rfam family "Bacterial small subunit ribosomal RNA", at positions 355 to 774 of the family's 1533-position model. The record is from RNAcentral.
UGGGGAAUAUUGGGCAAUGGGCGAAAGCCUGACCCAGCGACGCCGCGUGGGCGAUGAAGGCCUUCGGGUUGUAAAGCCCUGUCAUGCGGAAAGAACGACCCUGUGACGCAUACUCACAGGGAGUGACGGUACCGCAGGAGGAAGCACCGGCUAACUCCGUGCCAGCAGCCGCGGUAAUACGGAGGGUGCAAGCGUUGUUCGGAAUUAUUGGGCGUAAAGGGCGCGUAGGCGGUAAUGUAAGUCAGAUGUGAAAUACUUCGGCUCAACUGAAGAACUGCAUCUGAAACUGCAUAACUAGAGUACAGAAGAGGGAAACGGAAGUCCCGGUGUAGAGGUGAAAUUCGUAGAUAUCUGGAGGAACACCAGUGGCGAAGGCGGUUUCCUGGUCUGAUACUGACGCUGAGGCGCGAAAGUUUGUUGAGCAAACA